AAUGAAGAUGCUAAGAGAAUCUCUUCUGGCUCAUGCAGGUGACGUGAGGACCAAAGGCUACAGAACAUCAGAGUUGAGUGUGACCAGCAGGUGUGCGUACAGAGCCUGCCAUGUGUCCACUCACUGGUGCUGAGAAUCUCAACAGGCAGCAAUGCCUUUCAUUCCAACGUGGUAGCAGAUAGAACUGGCACAUAUCCCUGGAAGAUGUAGUAAGAAGGGCACCACCUCAUGCUCAGGUAUGAAAGACAAAGAUCACGCCACAUCCUGAAAGUUGUACUGAGUGACCCAGGGAGAGGGAGAAGAGCUGGAGUUUCAUGUGAGAUAAAAAAAAACCCAGAAAUGGCAGGUGUGGGAAGGGCAUCUGAACACAAAACUCCCGGCCUAUCCCCUUGUUUUCUUCCUGCCUGGCUGGUUCUCAUAUCUCCCAAUGCACAUUAGCCAAGCGCUGUGUACCAGAGAGCUGGGGGAGGGGAUGUGUGCCAUAAACCCUCCAGUGCCCACCACGGGCACAAGACACUUUAAAGGAAAAGUGGUCCCACUAGUUCUUUCCUACACAAGCCAUAAACGCUGCUGCAGAGUGAUUUAUUAGAGCAAGCAGCCCUGCCCCAGCAGCCACAGCUGGCUGGCCUGGGGACAGCAUGCAAACAGAAGAUAGCCACACAGGGCACAGGGGGCCUCCAGCCGUACCUGCAGGGACUCUCAUCAGUCUGGGUAAAUAAAUAAAGGUAGGUCACUCCCCAUGACGUCUGUUGGGCUCCUGAGGGACUGUUCAUGUUCCAACCAACCAAUCCCAUCCAAGGGCAAGAGGUCCCAGCAUCCAGUUAGGGGCCUAGGCUCAGAACAGUCACGAGCCACACAGGCAGGUGCACACAGAAAGCUCCUUACCUAGAAAUCUGGGCCAGGUCCAGCCCUACAUCAAGGCAGUGCUUCCUCUGCAGGACUGAGAAUUGUAUUGUUCAUGCUACUCAGAAGAAAGAAGGAAAGAAAAAUUUAAAAAGCUCACUUUUUCUUAAAAGUUCCCUCAUCGCUAAGAUUGACCAAAGCAGAUGGUAAGGUUCUCUUGAGGUUUGUGACCUUAGAGAAUAUUGAUGGUUGUGACUUUUGUAGGAGAUAAAAAUAAACUUGCUAGGUCAUCUUCCAGACUAUUAUUUACUUUUAAGUUUCUUUCCAAAUAUUAUCUAGUCAAAAUGUUGUCUUGUUUAUGUGCAGGCUUUGGAAAAGCUGAGUUCUUUACCUGGGCCCUGUGAUUUGAAUGGCAUUUGACCCCUCAAUGAAGAGUGUGUGUGUGUGUGUGUGUGUGAGAGAGAGAGAGAGAGAGAGAGAGAGAGAGAAAUGGGGACUGAACUGACUCUGCAGACAUGCAGCCGUGACCUACCUAAUAGAGCUGUCCAUGAUAAACCCUUGGCUGAUUCUUUGACCCAACAUACACUGACUGAAACCAUGGCGUGCUGACUCUGUGCUGAGCAGGAGCCACAGACAAUCAAUCAGCAGGUUCCUGCCCUUCAAGAAAGCAGUGUCCACAGUGAGAACUGGAAGGGCGCAACAGAGCUAUGCAUCCAGAAUGAAGUGGGAUGCCACGGAGUCUGCAGAAGACACCACCCCCAGUCCUCCCUCGCCAUCUUCCAGGAUAAGUCUGAUAAAAUAUUAGCAGAUAACAGAAGGAGGUAGCAGACUCCUGAUUCAGGGAAUGGAACGUGUAUGUCAGGGAAUGGAGGUCACACUGUGUGAUUGGCUGGAGAGGGAGAAAGGUGACAGGAAGUGUUGGUGAGGGGCCCCAGGGAGCAGCAGUGGUAGAGAUGGGAAGGUGGGGAGGGUUUGUCGUUUAAGGGGGUGGUCAUGAUGGGCAGCCCUCUUGGUUGGCCAUCCCAUGGUCAUCCCACUCCUCCAGUUCUUUUUCACUUGCUGAUGUCAUGGAGUUGCCUGGGGAUUGGGGAGGGAAUGAGGCAAUACGGUCUUCCCAUUCCCCUUGCCAACCAGUGGUGUAGACAGGGCAUAUGAUGGAUUUCUAUCCAAAAAAUGUGAGUAGUCUGGAGGACAAUUGGAAAGAAUUUCUAUGCUUUAUGGGUGUUCUACGAGGAACAGUCCCUUUCCCUGCCUUUUGAUAUAGCCUCUUCACACAUCGUUUGGAGAUGCUGCCGGUGUCUUUGGACCCAAAGGAGAACACAGAGCUGACAGCAUCAGUCGACGUUAUUUGAAAGCAUGAGUGGUGAGAUGGAGAUGCAGCCAAGGUGCUGUGUUGAAUGCUCCAAAGAAGACAGAAUAACUGCAGGGAGACUGGAGGAGAACUCUUGGUCGGCCAGUGUUUGGGGGCCACUGCUUAGCUUUGGGGGAGCAUUUUCAGCACAGGGUACAGACACUGCAUGAAAGUCACUAAGCAGUUGUAAGCAUGGAAAAUGGUUCAGAAGAGGAACCCUAUAUAUUCAAGUCUGUUGGUCAAGAAAGGAGAAAGAUAAAAUGGUAGCCAAGAGAAGAGCAGUUCUGAGGAAAGGGAUGUAAUGGGUGAUCAAAGCCUAUGUGUGGGCAAAGAAAGGGCCAGAGAAGAUGCUGAGUGUGACAAGGAAGGGAGGUCCUGCUCAGGGGUAUGGGCACAGUAGAGGGAGGGAGGCUUCUGUUGGGAACUUAAGGAAAAGAAGAGCAAUUGAAAACAUGAAGAGAUAGUGAGACAGAGAGAAGGAUGGUGUGCAAAGCUCUCUGUGGUUUAGAAAGCAUGUUCACAUAGAUUAUAUCACUCAAGCCCUGUCAAAUGGGUGCUACCAUCAUCUCCACUUGAGAGGUAAAGAGUUUUGGGAAGGUCCACAGCAGACAACUACAGCACUAGCAUGAAUUUAAACCCUACUCAACCCAAAUUCUAUGUCCUUUCAAUGUGCUGGUUUGGGGAAGUUGAUACCUUCUGGGAACACAGAGCUGGAGAACAGCAGUGAUUCUGACACCAACUAUCUAUCAGAAUCCCUGUGCCACUUUAAAGGUAAAGAGUACUAGACUCGACCCUUUUGAUAACCUGUUGGUUAACGAGGUGUAUUUGUCUGUUUUCUGUUGCUAUAACAAAAUGCAUGAGACCUGGAAAUUUAUAAAGAAUAAAAGUUUAUUUGCUUCAUGGUUCUGGAGGUUGGAAAGUGCAAGAGCUUAGUGAUGGCAUCUGCUUAGCAUCUGAUGAGGACACCAUAGUGCAUCUUAACAUCAGGAUAGGCAUCACACGACAUGACAGAGCAAACACGCCAGCUCAGAUUCUUCCUUUUAUGAAGUCAUUUAUGCCAUCAUGGGGGCCCCCUUCUCAAGACCUCAUCUAGUCCUAAUUACCUCUCAGUGGCCCCACCUCUAAAUACCAUGGAAAUGAAUCUAGGGAUUAAGAUUCUAGCACAUGGUCUUUUGGGGACACGUUCAAACCAGAACGGUAUGCACUGUGAGCCAGCACUGCUAAAAGCUCCCUGCUUAGGGGAGUCACUGUUUCAGAGAAUUAAAGAACCAAGGAAGGCCAGUUCCUGAAGGACUUUGACUACGCUGCCUUUAAGUCUCUGCAUAAGCUCCUGUGCCUGUGGGUCUCUCAGAGUUACUUUGAAAGGAGCAGAAGGAAACAGAAAGAAGGAGAAGGAGGAGAGACAAGAGGGGGCAAAGCACCUGUCCUUCCUCUCAUUUGUCUUCACUACACCAAUCUAUGGACUCCAAAGCCCAGAUGUCCUCAUCCCUGGGUUUUAGUUCUGAGAGUGGACUCUAUUCCAGUCCCAAAGACAAGAGGUUGUUCCGCCCCCUUCGAUCCUCAUUCCAUUUGCUCUUGCUCAGUUCAUUCUUAGGAACGAGUUGGUAUGACACUAGGUUAGUCGGGUUUCCAUCACUAUAAUGAAAUAACUGAGACAGUCAACUUUUCAAGAGAAAGACUUCUUUUGGAUCAUGGUUUUAGAGGUUCUAGGGCAAGAUCAAGGGCACCCAUUGAGUGGCUCCCAUGGCUUUGGACCUGCUGAGAGUCAGCAUGUCCCAACAGGAACAUAGGGCCAAGCAAACUUGCUAACAUCACUGCCAGAGAGCAAAAAGGGAGAGGAAGGGGACAGAGUUCCACCAUCUCCUUUGAGGAUAUUCCCCCAGUAACCUGAGGACUUCCCACAAAGCCCCACCUCUCCAAGGUUGCACCACCUCCCACUAGUGCCACCCUAGGGACCAAAGCUUUCCACAUAGGCCAUUGGGAGCUACUAAAGAUCCAAACUACAGCAAUCACCAUUUAAACUUAUUCAAUCUUCUUUGAGCAAGGAGUAUAGAACAUGGUGGGAGGCACUUUAAAGACAGGGUGUCCCACAGGGGGCCAGGCAUUUGCACCUGUCCCCAAAUCUCCCUCCUGGAAGGUGGCUGUGAUCUUGGCAUACAUAUUCACAAGGCCACCUCCAAGAGUACCAACAGUGAGUUCCUGGAGGGCUCAAUGACCUAUGAGGUAUGACUCAGGCUGAGUCCUGCAAGUAGACCCUCACCAGGCAGACCAAACCCUACCAGACUGCACGAGGGAGGUGACCCUGUCUCUCCGGCACUAACAGGGUGUGAGCCGGGUCCAGCACCUUGAGAGCCGACUCAUAGUUGGGCAAAGUGAAAAAUGAAUCGUUUUUUAUAUUAUGAUUUCCUCAUCUUAUUAUGAUCACUCUUCCUCUCCACCUCCACCCGCCAUGGAAAAUCAACACAAGGGCUGCAUUUGGGGGAUUCUCUGUUAUCAAUAUCCUUAUUCUUAAAAAAGAAAGAAAAAAAGAAAUGAGGGGAAAAAAGCCCUCCACUUUGCUGUCUGCUAACCCAAAAAUGCACGAGGAGCCAGGCGAUGUCCCUUCCCACCCCAUGUGUCUGCCCAGUGCCAUAUAUUUUACAUGCCUGCACAAUGCGUUUUAUGAGGCAUAUAAAAGCCAGACGGGAAUUAUCUCCUUCUCCUGUACGGGCUGUCUCUUUUUGGGGGAGAGAUAACAGAGACCUAUUUCAUUUUGCUGCUUGCUACUGGAUGCUCUGCCAUAAAUUGAGAAAAGAAGCUCUUUUUGAAAAAUGCUUUCUUUGACCCUAUUGUCACUGGGAAACCUCAAUGAGAGAAAUACCAUUCUCUAUAGGAUCUCGGUUCAGAGCAGAGCCAGGAGGUGUGGGGGGAGCUGUUGUUUUUUUCUCUUCUGUUCUCUCCUUCCUCUCUCUCCACUGGAGAGAACAGAAGAUGUCCACUGAGGAGUGGUCUCUCCCUUAGAGGAGGGGCUGUCAGUGGACAUAAAGAACCCAGGGAGCAAGUCCUGGCUAUGCUGAACCCCAACAUCCUCCCAUCACCCCGUUUCAGAGAGACAGGGCUGCAGCCCCCUGUGGGAAUACAUUCACUCCGCCCAUGCUACAUCCAGGCACGCUCAACGCACUAUCAAAUAUGCACCAGCAAUAUUUCAUUAUCGGGUCCUUUGCAGCCCAGUGCACGCCUGGGUGAGCCUAGAAAUUAAACUGUACUUUCACCUCUAAAGAAUGCCGUCCCUGCCGGUGCUGAAGGGGAGAGAUUGCCAGGCCACCAGGCUGUGGAGUGAUGAGAGAGCAGGGCAGGGGCCUAGCAGGCAGAAGCCUUCUGCUGGCCUUGGUGGAGAGGUCUGGGAGUCGUCCAUCUCCCCAGAGCUGAACAGGCUCCUGGGCAGAGGACACGGGACACCCUGAGGGAAAGAAUGGGAAAGGUCCUCCUGCAGAACCCCUGCAGGAGCUUGGAAUCUCUUCCCAUAAGGUGCGUCUCUGCCCUCUCCAGCAUCCUCCACCUAGAUCCAGACACCCCAUUCUACCCUCCGUCUGCCUCGUUGGUCAUCUAUGUUGUCCCCAGUCAUGUCAGGGGACACCAACAAUGUCCAAUGUCAACAACAACAACAACAACAAAAUAAUGUCAACAAACAAACACAAGAAGAGCUAGAAAGCCUACUUUGCUACCAUCACCAUUUUGUUGGGACUGGGCUUGCCACUGAGCAUCACUUUGGGCCUGGUGGGUCACUGCCAUGUGGAGAGGAGAAAUGCAGGGCCAGGGCACUUGCCCUACACAAGCCAGCCAGAGCCGGGAGGGAUGGGGAAGCUCAGAGGGGACAGGACCUUAGAGUUCUCAAAAUUCAGGACUGGUCCUAUCACUCUUCUGCUCAAAAUCUUCCAGAGGUUUCUACCACUUAGAGUCCAUCCUGGAGUCCACUGUGGCCUGGUCCCUGGUAACUCCCUGACCUCAGCUUUAACCGUUCUCUCCCUCAUUCACUGUGUUCCAGCCUCUCUGGUCUCUCGGAUGUUACUAGAGCUUCCUCCCCGCUACCCGCAACCUCCAGCAAGACUCUGUCUCGGGGACAUGGCAGAGACACUUGUCCUUCUCAGGACAAAGACAUCAGGGCCAAUAUAUCUUCUGGGCAAGAAGAAUUUACAUCAAGAAGUACUAGGAGCCAGGUGCCGUGGCACAUGCUUGUAAUCCCAGGGGCUCAGGAGGCUGAGACAGGAGGAUCGCAAAUUCAAAGCCAGCCUCAGCCAAAAGCUAUGUGCUAAUUAACUCAUGAGAUCCUGUCUCUAAAUGAAAUACAAAAUAGUGCUGGGGAUGUGGCUCAGUGGUCAAGUGCCCUUGAGUUUAAUCCCCAGUACCAAAAAAUAAAAACAAAAGAGGACCUUCAUGAGAGCAAUGGUCUGUGGCUGAUAAUUCUCAGACAUCUGAUAACCUGGGCAGAGUGUCAGGAUCAACCCGUACCAAGAUUUGCUUCUAGAGACCCACUCACUCCACGUCCAGCACUGAUGUAGAAUCCUGGGGAACUUGGAGAUAAGUCUAAGUGGCAAGGGGUCUUCUCUCAACUUGCUGGACUCUUAAGACUUAAACAUGGGAAAGUUUAAGAGAAAAAUAAAAUAUAUAUGACAUGUUCUGGAACAGAUAAUGAGUGGCGUGGAUGAUCAGGAAGAGAUGUCAGUUGUGCCUGGGGGAUUAGGAAAGGUAAUGGGAGAUCGAUAACUGGAAAUGAUCCAUUAAAUAUGGAGAGGAUUUGCAGAGGAAAAGAGAGAUCUAGAAGGUUCUCCUGAGAUGAGGUCUUACUUGAGUUUUCCCCAUUUCACAGAUGGGAAGAGGAUACCACAUAGGUAGGCACGCUCAGAACUGUGUUUAAAAUGACCUAGAAUUUCAAGGAUUUGACCAAUCUGUUUUGUGUCAUGGAUAUGGUCCUCUCCUGACUCCCAGGGAGAACCUCUCACAGGGGAGCCACACGCGUUUUCUGCUCUAACAGGACACUUAUAGUUGAGAAAUGCAUAUGCAUCCCUUCUUUAGCUCUGAGCCAAAGCAAUAACAGAAUAUGAGUGACUUGCUUGCUUCCUGGGAUGGAGAAGAGAUGGUGGAAUGGUCCAUCCUAAGAGAUGACCUGCUGUGGCCAAGACAAGUCUAGGCAUCAGCUCUGCCAACAGAAGGCAAGCAGACUCUUCCCUUCUUUCUAUGGGUCAUGAUUAUUUGAGUAAUGACUGAGAGUUCUGAGAGCACGCUUCCCAAGCUGGGAGCUGUAGGGACGACCCACCUCUUUCUUCCCUUGCCUUUUGAAGCACCAGUGGAUAAGGGGCUGCAGGCGAUCCUUUACGUUGGGAAUGUUAAUGCAAGCAGGCUAAUAUCAUGGUAAGUUGAAACCUCUCAGGGGUCUCUCUAUGUAUGAUAUUCAGCCCUGCUCUUAUCAAUGAGCACAUCUAUAUCGAGCUGUUUUAAGGAAGGAAGGGAUGGAGUUAAUCAUAAGUUUCCAUUUGAUCAGGUUCUGUAAUGAGGUUUUGGUUAUGGACUUUGUAUUUCUAUGCAUGUUAAUAGACAAAUACACAGGCAAUAAAUAUUGUUAUAAAUAUGAUGAGAUGGACAGAUAGAUACAGAUAGAUAGAUAGAUGGUAAUAGAUACAGAUAUAGAUAGACGGAAGAUGAAUGACGCCUAGCCAUAUUUAUGCAUUCCACAGCCCAACUUCAUUUAAUAGAAGCGUCUGUGCUUUCAGAGCAUUUAAACAUGCAGACACAAGCCACUGCAGUGGAUGCCGGAAGGACAUUGUGUCCCACCUGAAUGCAGGUAAGUCUGGAGUCCAAAGAAGCCCCAGUCAUCUGUGUCCACAGAGGACAGCCAGCUUUGUAUCCUCGGGUGCAGAACUUUGGGCCAAAGAUCUGAGUGUGUUGGGCUUCUCAGAGGUCACUGCAGCUGGAGGCCAAAAUCUCAUUAAACAGUUCUUACCAACUGUCUUAAAAGGCAGGACUCGUGGCCUCCAGCCCUGGGGGAUGCUGUGAUUCUGCACAUUUAUUGACAGAAGCCAGGUAUCUCUGCUGACACCUACCCUGGCUUCCUCAGAUCUCCUAGCCAGCCUCCCCCAGCCCGAAGACACAAGGCUCAACUUCAAGGCUCCUAAAACUGUAAGGGAUGAUGCCAACCUGGGGCUUCCUCAAAGCUGGCUGGCUGUGUGGCUCUCCUGCUCCCGUCCCCAGUAAAGAUCAUGAAGAAGAGGGGAAUGAGAAGGGCAGAAAGGGCAAAUUCCUGAGCCCGUUGAAGAAUUUAGCCAGUGGCUAGCAAAGAGAGGAAAAUGCUUUAGAGGAAGGGGAAUUUAUUCACGGACACCUGUCAGAAGCUGUCAUUCCCUGGCUGAACUAUAGUCUGAAUUUUACUAUGAUAUAAAUCAGUUCCUCCUGGACUUAAUAACUCUUCUUUAUAGGUUUCUUCCCACUCAUAAAUAAAACUCAUUCCAUAUGUAUAUACUGCAAAAGGCCUGCUUGACUUGCAGCACUGUUCAUUGGGAGAGGUAGGUGCCAGCCCACAUUUUGUAAUGGCCAUGGGGCUUUCCAAUGGUUCCACCUUCAGGGAGAGACCUCCCUUCCCUGGGACAACGGGUAUGUCCUCUCAAAGAGCCAGGUGACUUCCAGGAUGGGUCCAAGUGUGGCAGAGCUGGAGGUCACCUUGCUGGAAAGCGGGGUGGGGGUGUCAGGCAGGGCUGCAAUGUGCCUGACCAGUUCUCCUGGCAGAUUUGUGAAGUUGCAGAUUCUGAAGAGAUGGGCCAGCUAACCUCUGCCAGAUCCCAGGGAUGGUCUGGAACGUUCCACUGAUUGGGGAGGCCCUUAUCCACUCCAUUCCUCAAGCUCUCCAUGGAGCAGUGAACUUCAGCACCCUGACUCACAACAACCCCAUCCUGGUUGGAUUUUUGGACACCAGCUCCAUUCUCUUCUAGUGUGGUGAGAGAGCAAACUUAAUUUUUAAAGUUAUGCGCUACAGUAUUCUCGGGGUUUUGUACAUUCUCAGAAAGAGAUAAAUAUUCAAAUUCUAAUUUUAAAAACAUAGUUGGAAAAUGACGAUAGAAACCAUCUUGUCCAAUAUCCACCCAAGGAAGUAAACACCCCCACAUCCACCCCAGCAGAUGGGCACUCGGCCUUCCUAUUUCUCUUAGAAGGAGAAUUAUAAAAGGAUUUAGCUUUUAUUUUAUUUUAAACACAACUCUUAAACUUUAAAGUAAAUCACAAAUAACUUUGUUCAGAUAACAUUCUGAAAUUUUAUUGUCAUUAAGAUCUGCAAGCACUCCAUGAGAAUUCAUAAUUUUAGGAGGAAAUACAUCAAUACAGUAUUUAAUGAUAUGGAUUAUCUGCUUUUGAAAUAUACCAGGUGCUGUAAUUACAAAACUCAAACUAGUAAAAAAAAAACAUUGAAGACAAAUCUGGUAACCUCCUGAGAUAAGAGCUGUGAAAAUCAAAAUCUGUGUUCACAAAACCAAAACUAAAACCAAAACCAAAAAAAAAAAAAAAAAAAAAAAACCACCAGAAAAUAACGUGUUGGCAAGGAUGUGGAGAAAUUGGAACCCUCGUACAUUGAAUCUAAAUAGAUUCAGCUUCUGGGGGAAAAUCUGGCAGUCCCUCAAGUUGUUAAACAUAGAAUUUCCAUAUGCUUCAACGAUCCCACACCUAGGAUCCACCCAAAAGGGUUGACAACAGGGACUCAGACAAAUACAUCUACACACACCUUCACAGCGGUGAUGCUUGCAAUCAAGAAAAGGUGGAAAUAGCCCAAAUGUCCAUCAGCAGAGAGAUGGGUAAACAAGAGAGGGUAUGUGAGUACCCUGAAAUGUUUUCAUUCCAGAAAUGAAGGGAGAAGUGCAGAACCGAGACAUGUUACGAUGUGGAUGGAGGGAAAACAUCAUGAGAAGUGAAAGAAGCCAGACACAACAGCUCAUGUAUUAUAUAAUCCCAUUUAUAGGAAAUGUCGAGAACAGGUAAAUCCAUAAGGUCAGAAAGCAAAGCAAUGGUUCCCAGGGGCUGGAGCAAUGGGAGAAUGAGAAGUGAUCGCUUGAUGUGUACAGAGCCUCUUUUGGAAUAAUAAAAGUAUUCGUGAGCUAAAGUAGAGGUGGGGGUGAGCAGCCCUGGGAAAGUCCAGAAUGAAAUGUAUAAUCUUAUGUUUUGUGAACCUCUCCUUAAUACAAAGAAUGUAAAAACAAGCACACACACAAAAAUGAUCUAUGAAGCCAGAUAUGGGGGCGCAUGUCUGUAAUCCCAGGGACUCAGAGGCUGAGGCAAGAGGAUUGAGAGUUCAAAACAAGCUGCAGCAACAUAGUGAGGCCCUAAGCAACUUAGUGUGAUCACAUCUCAAAAUAAUAAACAAACAAACAAAAGAAAAGAAAGAUCUGGGGAUGUGGCUCAGAGGUUAGGCAUCUCUGGGUUUCAAUCCCUGGUACCACUCCCCACCCCCGCCCCACCCCCCCCACCCCCCCAAAAAAAUCUAAGAUCAAGUUUCAUCUCUGAGACAAAUCUUCCCUACAUUUUCAAGCAAGUUUCUUCAUGUUUGUGGGCCCAAGCUUUUUUUUUAUUGACAUACAACCCUGGUAGCACUGGUCUGCCUAGUAGCCCAUCUCAACACAGUGCUAGAUCUGCAAUAAUCAGAAGGUUGAUACCCAAAAAAACUAGAAAACACUUUAGCAUUUCUGGGUUAAUACAAUCAGUUGAAAUUGCUUCUAAGAAUUCUCUCUCUCGCUUUCUAAAAAAAUUCGUUUUCAAAAGAAAAAUAUCCUCCUUUCCCUCCCCUACACACAAGAUCGCCAUCAGACACCAAACCAGGGCCAGAGUUAUAAACGGCCCUGCACUUGUGGUUGUGAAUAAAGUUUUCCUGAAACACAGUCACACCCAUUUACUGCUGUAGUCCCUGAGACUGCUGGCAUGCUAUCAGGACAGAGCCGAGUCCUUCCAACUGUGGUCCCCAAACCCCUAAACUUACCAUCUUGCCACUUACAUAAAAAAGUCAUUGGCCCCUAGUAUAAAAUAAUGUAAUAAGAAACUACCAUUAAAUUACAAACUCAUGGAAAAGACAAUAAAAUAACAUAAAAAGCAAGAUGAAACCCUAAAGGAAAGAAAUAAAUUGUCUGACCAUUCACAAACAGUAAAUAACUUUGGAAUCAAGAACAUAACAGACAUCUCUGUAAAUCAAACAACUGGCAUUAGCAAAGGAGCCCACAUGGUCAUCCGUGAACGUAGGUGACCAAAAAUUAAAUAAAAUUUAAUAAUAGAGAGACGGAGAGAUUAAAUUGGCAAAUAUGACUUAAAAAUAAUACCUGGCCUCUUAAUGUGUGUUAAUCUCACUCUCUCUCUUUUAAACUUAAAGGAUUCUUUUGGGAAAAGCUGUCCCCUGGGGUGAUGACACAAGUAUUUGGAGUUCAGAGAUCCUUGCAGUUUAAUACCAGCUUCUUUUUAAAAUCGAGAAAAAUUAAAUUUAAAGUGGGACUCUGUGUGAUCCUGUUUUCCUAGAAUACAGCCCGACUGUCCCUUCUGUCUAUAGACGUGCUCAGAAGCUUCUAGAAUGAUGUGAAGCUAUUUGCAGAUAGCAUGACCUGGGUGACUUUCUACUGUCUGCUUUCUGUCUUCCUGCAAGGCUCCAGGCAAAUAUGCUAAGAUGUUAUCUUUUGGGUGGUACCAUGAGAAUAAUGGCCACCUUCUUCGAUUGUAUAUUUUUAGAUGUCUCUUAUACAAAACUUUAAAUAAUAUUUUUAUUGAUUUGGUGAUGGUGUUUUUGUAAAUUGCCCACGGUACCUAGAACAAGGAAGGCACAUAAUCCAUGUUCAUUAAAAACUGUAUUGAUUUCUGUUUUCUCAAAUGUCCAAGGGACUGUUCACUCUUCUCAAUGACAAUAAGAGUUUGAAAUAUUGUUGACACAGUUAGCUGUAAUAUAUUUCCUACCUUAUUAAUUGCAAUAGAAAAACAACCACAUCCCUUUGUAAUAACAACAAAAGAAAAAGCAAUUUAAAUAGUUGUAAGAUGCCCCAAAGAUUUGCCGUGUUGUGACAAACUACAAUAUCCAAGGCAUCGCCACCCAUUUUCUCCCCAUUUCUCCCGCAGAGUGGCUGGCCACAAACACACUUCCCCAGAUUCUCAAAAACUCAAUCAUAUGCAGCCCACGCAGUUCUGGCUGUUCCAUUUCUUUCUCCAACUUUUCUCGAGCUAUUUAUUUCUCUUAGUUGCAGUUUUCUAAUGAUCACAUCUUGAACUUUCUAGGACUCAUCAUUCUUUCUACCAACGACCUAGAUCAACACAACAGGAAAGCCCUGUAACACAGAAGGAAGAAAAAAUCAGGAGACAUGCAGGCAUAAGGACUGAGGGUAGUUGUUCCUGCAGCUCCGAAUUUAGUUACGACUGUGCUCCCUGCAAGGAGACAGCAACUUAUCAAAAUCAUUCAGAAACAGAUACAGAUGAUAUAUAAUUAAGCAUUCACAUGAGUGUGCUAUUUGUCUAUUGAACAGAGUGAUCAAUUGGAAUGGGCUGGGAUAAUUGGAGAAUCUGGGUCUCGUGCUUGAUCCCAAAGGAAGCUAAGACUUCAAUAAGGGGGGAAAAAGGUGACUUCUGAUGAGAAAAGUGCUUCAGCAAAGUUCAAGGCAGACAGGGGCAUAUCAGGCUGUUGUCCCAGGGAUGGAAACCACCUGACCAGUGGGGAGUAGAAAAGGCGUGUUGAAUGGAGUAGAGCAAGAGAAAAGAUCAUGACCUGGGGUACAAAACCCUAGUGCCACCAUGACCUUAAGAAGUCAGUAUUCACAAAUAUCUACUAAUCGCUAGGGUCCAUCCCCAUUCACUGAUGGGGGGGCUUAUAUUAGGGGAUCACCUUUUCCCCUUCUCUUCUUGUUUAGAACCUCUGCCCAUGUUUUUUGGCUGCUGAAUGAAUCCCUCACCUCCACCUUUUACUCCAUAAAGAUAAGGAGGUACUACACUGGAAGGGGUAGCACAGGUAUUUCUUUUUUAAAUUUUUUUCUUUUCAGUUAUGCAUGACGGAAAAUGAAUUUUGACAUAUUAUACAUAGAUGGAGUAUAAUGUCCCAUUCUUAUGGUUGUAGGUGAUGUGGGGUUCCACUGGUCGUGUGUUCACAUAUGAACACAGGACAGUUAUGUCCAAUUCAUUCCACUGUCUUUCCUAUUCCAUUGUUUUUCCUAUUUGCUUCCCUUCAUUCCCCUGUGUCUAAUACAAAGUACUUCUAUUCUUCCCUCCCCAUCCCUUUAUUGUGACUUAGCAUCCACAUAUCAGAGAGAACAUUAUGCCUUUGGAUUUGGGGGAUUGGCUUAUUUCACUUAGCAAGAUAGACUCCAGUUCCAUCCAUUUACUGGCAAAUUUCAUCAUCAUUUCAUUCUUCUUUAUGGCUGAGUAAUACACCAUUGUGUGUAUGUACCACAUUUUCUUUAUCCUCUCAUUUGUUAAGGGUAUGUAGGUUGGUUCCAUAGCUUGGCUAUUGUGAAUGGAGCUGCUAUAAACAUCGAUGUGGCCACAUCACUAUAGUAUGAAAUUUUAAGUCCUUUGGAUGGAUGUAUGUUUAGGAGUGGGAUAACUGGGUUAAAUGGUAGUUAUUUAAAGUUUUCUGAGGAAUCUCCAUACAGAGUGGUUGCACCAGUUUGCAGUCCCACCACCAAUGGAUGAGUGCCCCUUUCCCCCACAUUCUCACCAACACCUAUUGUUACUUGUAUUCUUGAUCAUUGCCAUUCUGACUGGAGUGAGAUGAGAUCUCAGUGUAGUUUUAAUUGGCAUUUCUCUAAUUAGCGCAGUAAGGAAUCACAGGAAUGAAAAGAACACGCCACAUAGAAAAUUGGAAAGAAAAGAGAGGGAAGAAAGUAGCUCCUGUCAGCUCCUCAACCUCCUCCCCGAUGGAGCCUCCCAUGGCUGACAGAGACUCCAGCAUCCCCAAAGACUGCCUUGUGGAGAAACAGCCGUCCACAUGGCCUGCCGCUCUCCUGGGCUCCAGGCUGGUCUGCCCACUGCCUUGAACAUCUAAGAGACCUUCUCUUGAACGUCUCGGGAGUGAACCAUUGAACUUGGUGUGGCCAACACAGAGCCCCUUUCUCCCACCUCUGCGCCUGCUCUUUCUGCUGUUUUCUCACUACAUGCCUCUGGGCAUCCAAGUUGGCCCUCAAGCCUCACAACCCAGUGGCUGCCAGGUGACAGCAAUUCCUCUUCCAGAGCAUCUCCUGCUCCCAGUUCAACCCUUUCCCCGCCAUCGCCUUGCCCACGUCUUGCUAUGUCUAUAGCAGGUGUCUUCAUACCCUUCUCCCCGCCUCGGCCUUCUCUCCUACCCCUUCACCACGUCCUUGAUGUGGUGGCCAGGACUGGCUUUCUUGUGCCACAGGUCUGAUCACAUCACGUCUCUGUUUUAAGAACCCAGGUGGUUCCCCUCUGCAUCAGAAGGCCCAGAUUCCCGAGUCUGAUCUUUUACAUCCUCUGAAUUCUAACUCUAUCCAUGUUUUUGGCCUCAUCUCUCUCUCUUUCCCCUCAUUUUCCCUGUUUAACCACUAACGUAUCAUUCCAUGUAUCUCUCUCUCUCUCCCCAUAUAUAGUUGUGGAUGAACUUUUAUUUUUAUUUAUGUAGUUUUAUGUGGUGCUGAGAAUUGAACUCGGUGCCUCACACAGGCUAGACAAGCACUCUACCCUGAGCCACAGCUUACCAAGGAUGUCCCUUUAGCCACAGUAUGUGCCCUGUCACUCUUGUUUCUCUCUUCCUACUAAGAUAUUUCAUUUCCCUCCAGGCUCAGUUCAAACAUCUCACCAUUCUUCUUAAAAUGCUGCAUCCCUCAGCUGGAAUAGACUCGAAGACAAGGCACUUUGGUGAGGGAAUGAAUGAUUCACCAAUAAUGAGAAAAGAGAUUAAUAAAAGAUGGAAUUCUCGCCAUCUUGGUGGAAUUCUCCUGCAUCCCAUGCCAUUUUCUCUUGCCCAGCCUGAGCUCCCCCAGAGCCUGUCUGUUCGAUCGAUCCGCAGCAUCCACCGCAGUAUGAACGAUGCUCCACUUCAAUGUAAGAUUUGGUUUUCUUGUGGGCCCUUUAGCACAGGGCACGUAAAGACCAGCGAUAGGUUGGGCUUCAGCACUGUGUUCUGAGUCUUCAGUCUGACAUUCCUGUAUGGAGAAACACUAGCAAGUUCAAAAGCAAAUCAAACCUGAAUGCAAUAUUCAGAAGGCUCUCUAAGACUCUGCGCUGAGACCAAAAUGUUAAAUGCACAUGGAAACCCUCUUUGCUCUCCACAGUGGGCAUGUGCCAGGGGACAGGCUCCAGAAUGGCGUGACCUUUGUGGAUUCUCAUUUUCUGAGCCCUCUCACCAAACCUGGCCUCCAGGCUUGGAGGACUCAAGGGUGUCUGAUCUUUGACCCUGCCCCAAAUCCUCAAGUUUAUAAGGAUCAUUCCUUCAUAAGUGCAUAAACAAUAAAGUGACAAUGGUGUCAUUACUGCCUUUCUCUGAAAGAACCCUUUACCCUGGAUGGAUGAGGAACCAACUACCCCCAGGGAAAUGAAUACCAUAAAAAAGUUUGGAUUUGUGCUUGGGGAGAAUAUGAG
RNAcentral lists this long non-coding RNA (15757 nucleotides) under Marmota monax (woodchuck). The record is from RNAcentral. Lineage: Eukaryota; Metazoa; Chordata; Mammalia; Rodentia; Sciuridae.